GACGAACGCUGGCGGCGUGCUUAACACAUGCAAGUCGAGCGGAAAGGCCUGCUUUCCCUUGUGGAUUGCGGGUACUCGGGUGGCGAACGGGUGAGUAACACGUGAGUGAUCUGCCCCCAACUUGGGUAUAAGCCUGGGAAACUGGGUCUAAUUCCCGAUAGGACUGCAGGGUGGUGCCUGUGGUGGAAAACGAUUUUCUAGUGGUUGGGGAUGAGCUCGCGGCCUGUCAGCUUGUUGGUGGGGUACUGGCCUACCAAGGCGGCGACGGGUAGCCGGCCUGGGAGGGUGGACGGCGACAUUGAGACUGGGAUCAGGCCCAGACGGCUACGAGAAGCAGGAGUGGGGAGUAUAGGACAGUGAGCGGAAGCCUGAUGCAGCGAGGCCGCGAGGGGGAUGACGGGGUUCUGGUUGUAAUCUCCUUGCGACCGAAAGGAGGCCACCUAGUUCGAAGGGUGGUGACGGUAGUGGAAGAAGAAGCACCGGCUAACUACGUG
Molecule: ribosomal RNA, 494 nt
Filed under: uncultured bacterium
Lineage: Bacteria
Description: partial 16S ribosomal RNA
Rfam family: Bacterial small subunit ribosomal RNA
Source: RNAcentral